GAAUCUUCCACAAUGGACGAAAGUCUGAUGGAGCAAUGCCGCGUGAGCGAAGAAGGUUUUCGGAUCGUAAAGCCCUGUUGUAAGGGAAGAACACGUACGGGAGUAACUGCCCGUACCUUGACGGUACCUUAUUAGAAAGCCACGGCUAACUACGUGCCACCAGCCGCGGUAAUACGUAGGCGGCAACGGUUGUCGGGAAUUAUUGGGCGUAAAGCGAGCGCAGGCGGCCUGUGAAGUCUGAUGUGAAAGCCCCCGGCUCAACCGGGGAAGGUCAUUGGAAACUGAUAGGCUUGAGUACAGAAGAGGAAAGCGGAAUUCCACGUGUAGCGGUGAAAUGCGUAGAGAUGUGGAGGAACACCAGUGGCGAAGGCGGCUUUCUGGUCUGUAACUGACGCUGAGGCGCGAAAGCGUGGGGAGCAAACA
This 423-nucleotide ribosomal RNA is filed under the name uncultured bacterium. Its description in RNAcentral is "partial 16S ribosomal RNA". It matches the Rfam family "Bacterial small subunit ribosomal RNA", at positions 359 to 774 of the family's 1533-position model. The record is from RNAcentral.